Molecule: ribosomal RNA, 365 nt
Filed under: uncultured bacterium
Lineage: Bacteria
Description: partial 16S ribosomal RNA
Rfam family: Bacterial small subunit ribosomal RNA
Source: RNAcentral
CCUACGGGUGGCAGCAGUGAGGAAUAUUGGUCAAUGGGCGAGAGUCUGAACCAGCCAAGUAGCGUGAAGGAUGACUGCCCUAUGGGUUGUAAACUUCGUUUAUAGGGGAAUAAAAUGUUCCACGUGUGGGAUUUUGUAUGUACCAUAUGAAUAAGGAUCGGCUAACUCCGUGCCAGCAGCCGCGGUAAUACGGAGGAUCCGAGCGUUAUCCGGAUUUCUUGGGUUUAAAGGGCGCGUAGGUGGAUUGUUAAGUCAGUUGUGAAAGUUUGCGGCUCAACCGUAAAAUUGCAGUUGAAACUGGCAGUCUUGAGUACAGUAGUGUUGGGCGUCAUUCGUGGUGUAGCGUUGACAUGCUUAGAUCUCAC